AGUGAAUAGAUACCCGGGUAGUCCACGCCGUAAACGAUGGAUACUAGCUGUCGGGGGUAUCGACCCCCUCGGUAGCGAAAGCUAAACGCGUUAAAGUAUCCCGCCUGUGGAGUACGGUCGCAAGACUAAAACAUAAAGGAAUUGACGGGGAUCAGCACAAGCGGUGGAUCGUGUUCUUUAAUUCGAUGAUAAACGAAGAACCUUACCAGGGCUUGACAUCCAGGGAAGCACUACGAAAGUAGAGUGUGCCUUUUGGAACCCUGUGACAGGUGUUGCAUGGCCGCCGUCAGCUCGUGUCGUGAGAUGUUUGGUUAAGUCCAUCAACGAGCGCAACCCUUGUGAAUAGUUGUAUUUUUCUAUUCAGACUGCUCUAGUAAUAGGGAGGAAGGAGGGGAUGAUGUCAGGUCAGUAUUACCCUUACGUCCUGGGCUAGAAGCACGAUACAAUGGCAAGUACAAUGCGCAGCGAAGCAGUGAUGUGGAGCAAAUCGCACCAAAGCUUGUCCCAGUUCGGAUAAGAGGCUGAAACUCGCCUC
This 535-nucleotide ribosomal RNA is filed under the name uncultured bacterium. RNAcentral's name for it is "bacterial SSU rRNA". It matches the Rfam family "Bacterial small subunit ribosomal RNA", at positions 774 to 1318 of the family's 1533-position model. The record is from RNAcentral.